RNAcentral lists this ribosomal RNA (261 nucleotides) under uncultured archaeon. RNAcentral's name for it is "partial 16S ribosomal RNA". It matches the Rfam family "Archaeal small subunit ribosomal RNA", at positions 748 to 1009 of the family's 1478-position model. The record is from RNAcentral.
CAGCCGUAAACUAUGCGCGUUAGGUGUAUCGGUGACCACGAGUCACCGAGGUGCCGAAGGGAAACCGUGAAACGUGCCGCCUGGGAAGUACGGUCGCGAGGCUGAAACUUAAAGGAAUUGGCGGGGGAGCACCGCAACAGGUGGAGCCUGCGGUUUAAUUGGACUCAACGCCGGGAAGCUCACCGGAUAGGACAGCAGAAUGAUUGCCGGGCUGAAGACCCUGCAUGACUAGCUGAGAGGAGGUGCAUGGCGUAGACGUCU